Molecule: ribosomal RNA, 292 nt
Filed under: uncultured prokaryote
Description: partial 16S ribosomal RNA
Rfam family: Bacterial small subunit ribosomal RNA
Source: RNAcentral
GUGUCAGCAGCCGCGGUAAUACGGAGUGUGCAAGCGUUAUCCGGAUUCAUUGGGUUUAAAGGGUGCGCAGGCGGGCUUGUAAGUCAGUGGUGAAAUCUUGCCGCUUAAUGGUAAAAUUGCCAUUGAUACUGCAGGUCUUGAGUAUGGUUGAGGUAGGUGGAAUGUGUUGUGUAGCGGUGAAAUGCAUAGAUAUGACACAGAACGCCGAUUGCGAAGGCAACUUACUAAGCCAUUACUGACGCUGAGGCACGAAAGCGUGGGGAGCGAACAGGAUUAGAUACCCCGGUAGUCC